AAAGCAGUGCUUGAUGUACCUUUUGCAUUCAAAAGGGUAGACGCUAUGCUGUAUAUAUCAAAUUUCGAUUAUGAGGUGGACUACCUCAGGAAGUCAUUUGAAACUCUAGAGGCAGCAUGUGAAGAGUUGAGAAGUAGCAGAAUGUUCUUGAAGCUUCUGGAAGCCGUGUUGAAGACGGGUAACCGCAUGAAUGUUGGGACAAACAGGGGAGAUGCUCAUGCCUUCAAACUUGACACUCUGCUAAAGCUUGUAGAUGUAAAGGGAGCAGAUGGGAAAACAACCCUUUUGCAUUUUGUGGUUCAGGAGAUUAUAAAAGGUGAAGGUACUCGUCUUUCCGGAGGAAAUCAGAACGAACAGUGUACCACUAAUGAUGACGCUAAGUGCCGGAAACUUGGCCUUCAAGUUGUUUCCAACAUUACUUCAGAGCUUAUGAAUGUUAAAAAUGCUGCUGCUAUGGAUUCAGAAGUGCUCCACAGCGAUGUUUUAAAGCUUUCUAAGGGGAUUGGAAACAUUGCUGAGGUUGCAGGAUACAUUGAAGCGGUUGGAUCAGAGGAAAGCAGUACUAAAAAAUUCUCCGAGUCCAUGAACAGGUUUAUGGAAAUAGCAGAAGAGAAGAUCAUACGGCUCCAAGCUCAAGAGGCGUUGGCCAUGUCACUGGUGAAGGAAAUAACCGAGUAUUUCCAUGGAGAUUCAGCUAGAGAAGAGGCUCACCCUCUCAGAACCUUCAUGGUGGUCAAAGACUUCCUAAUGAUUCUUGAUCGCGUUUGCAAGGAAGUUGGGAUGAUAA
Molecule: unclassified non-coding RNA, 787 nt
Filed under: Hevea brasiliensis (rubber tree)
Lineage: Eukaryota; Viridiplantae; Streptophyta; Magnoliopsida; Malpighiales; Euphorbiaceae
Source: RNAcentral